Molecule: ribosomal RNA, 370 nt
Filed under: uncultured bacterium
Lineage: Bacteria
Description: bacterial SSU rRNA
Rfam family: Bacterial small subunit ribosomal RNA
Source: RNAcentral
GACGAACGCUGGCGGCGUGCCUAACACAUGCAAGUCGAACGGGACCAGGGGCAACUCUGGUUCAGUGGCGGACGGGUGCGUAACACGUGAGGAACAUGACCUUGGCGGGGGAGUAGCCGGCCCAACGGCUGGGUAAUACCGCGUACGACCAUUUGGGGACAUCCCCGAGUGGUGAAAGCAGCAAUGCGCCGAUGGAGUGCCUCGCGGCCUAUCAGCUAGUUGGUGAGGUAACGGCNCACCAAGGCAACGACGGGUAGCUGGUCUGAGAGGAUGGCCAGCCACAUUGGGACUGAGACACGGCCCAGACUCCUACGGGAGGCAGCAGUGGGGAAUAUUGCGCAAUGGACGAAAGUCUGACGCAGCGACGCCG